CAAAAGAUGCCCUAAAUAUCUGAGGACUAUGGAGGUUGUUAGUGAUGAAACUUCCGGAUCCCCACCGAUGCCCUUAGUCACACUUGAAAAUAGACAGAUUACUGUAAUUGAAAAACCUUUCGAAGAAAAUACAGAAGCUCUCUCACGCCCGGAAACGCCAACCUCACACCACCCUCACACCCGAUCAGCACUAGCAACGAUUACAGAAGCAGCAGUAGAAAUUAGAACGGAAGAGCCAGAUUUUGUUCUACCUAUCCAAAG
This is a long non-coding RNA of Bombina bombina (fire-bellied toad), 261 nucleotides long. RefSeq lists it as uncharacterized. Lineage: Eukaryota; Metazoa; Chordata; Amphibia; Anura; Bombinatoridae. The record is from RefSeq and is a predicted model, not a curated record. The transcript has 3 exons.